Molecule: ribosomal RNA, 213 nt
Filed under: Triticum aestivum (bread wheat)
Lineage: Eukaryota; Viridiplantae; Streptophyta; Magnoliopsida; Poales; Poaceae
Description: partial small subunit ribosomal RNA
Source: RNAcentral
GACUCGAUAUUCUUAAAAAAGGGGGGGGGGGAGCAGAACCAAGUCAAGAUGAUAUGGGUCGCCCCUUUUUCUUGCGCCAAAGAUCUUAACAUUUCCGAAGGAACUGGGGCUACAUUUCUUUUCAAUUUCCAUUAAAGAGUUUCUAUCUGUUUCCGCGCCCUUUUCUUGAGACCUCGAAACAUGAGUCAUCCAUUUUCAAAAGAAACUAUGUGA